GGGGGUGUAAAGGUUUCGACGGGGGUAUAGAAGCAGCAUAAGCGAGCCGUAGUCGCCAAGUCUACGUUAAAAGUGGCCGUUUAAAUAUAAACGCUAAAAAGAAUAAUAAUUUCGCACCUAUGGCACUGGCUGCAUAAGCAGUCUGCCGUGCGUAUCAGCUCCGGUUUACCUGUAGGCCGGUGAUCUGGUAUCGAUCAUACAGGAAAACUCUGCAGCCUUUCCCGGAGCUGCAGGGGACCAACGGGAUAGCAGAUCCGCAAGCCUGCUGAUGGGCGUCCGGACGAGCGAAACGUAAAUCACCAGCUGCGCUCGGAGAAGUUGCCGUGGAAAUGCUUUCGGACAGGAGUUCGACUCUCCUCAUCUCCACCA
RNAcentral lists this transfer-messenger RNA (369 nucleotides) under Anaerovoracaceae. RNAcentral describes it as "Hornefia sp900315125 Standard tmRNA". It matches the Rfam family "transfer-messenger RNA". From Rfam's summary of the family: Bacterial tmRNA, also known as 10Sa RNA or SsrA, is named for its dual tRNA and mRNA-like properties. RNAcentral also lists the same sequence under 1 other name. The record is from RNAcentral. Lineage: Bacteria; Bacillati; Bacillota; Clostridia; Peptostreptococcales.